This is a non-coding RNA of Caenorhabditis elegans, 180 nucleotides long. NCBI's taxonomy places the organism in Eukaryota, Metazoa, Nematoda, Chromadorea, Rhabditida, Rhabditidae. The record is from Ensembl.
AUUCGCCUGCUCUUUCGUCUCUUCAUUCCCCUUUGAAUAUUUUUCUUCUUCUAGCUUCACCAGGUCUCACCAAUUUGUCACGUCCAGAUCCGCCUACACGGUGCGAUGGAUAAGUGUUGCAAGAAGGGACACGACAAACUGACAUACAGGAUGAAGCCCUUAGCACACGUUUUAUUUUAC